Molecule: unclassified non-coding RNA, 323 nt
Filed under: plant metagenome
Description: partial contains 5.8S ribosomal RNA, internal transcribed spacer 2, and large subunit ribosomal RNA
Rfam family: 5.8S ribosomal RNA (bases 1-105)
Source: RNAcentral
GAAAUGCGAUAAGUAGUGUGAAUUGCAGAAUUCAGUGAAUCAUCGAAUCUUUGAACGCACAUUGCGCCCCCUGGCAUUCCGGGGGGCAUACCUGUUCGAGCGUCAUCGCACCCCUCAAGCGCUGCUUGGUGUUGGGCGUCUUGUCCCCCCGUGGCGGGGGACUCGCCCCAAAGACAUCGGCGGCUUGCACGGCGUCCGUGGCCCACAGCACAACGUGGUUGCCCGCAGACGCGCCCGCAAGCGUGCCGCAAAACCGACGCCCCCUUUUCGUGGCUCCUCUGGAUGGACCUCGGAUCAGGUAGGAAUACCCGCUGAACUUAAGC